GGGGUUGUGGCUCCAUGGUAGAGUGCAUGCCUCAAAUGUAUGAGGCACUGGGUUCAAUUCUCAGCACCA
Molecule: transfer RNA, 69 nt
Filed under: Urocitellus parryii (Arctic ground squirrel)
Lineage: Eukaryota; Metazoa; Chordata; Mammalia; Rodentia; Sciuridae
Also listed under: 1 other name
Description: Spermophilus parryii (Arctic ground squirrel) tRNA
Rfam family: tRNA
About the family: Transfer RNA (tRNA) molecules are approximately 80 nucleotides in length. Their secondary structure includes four short double-helical elements and three loops (D, anti-codon, and T loops).
Source: Rfam by way of RNAcentral